RNAcentral lists this ribosomal RNA (490 nucleotides) under Bacillus sp. (in: firmicutes). RNAcentral describes it as "Bacillus sp. (in: Bacteria) partial 16S ribosomal RNA". It matches the Rfam family "Bacterial small subunit ribosomal RNA", at positions 377 to 858 of the family's 1533-position model. Lineage: Bacteria; Bacillati; Bacillota; Bacilli; Caryophanales; Bacillaceae. The record is from RNAcentral.
GAAAGUCUGACGGAGCAACGCCGCGUGAGUGAUGAAGGUUUUCGGAUYGUAAAGCUCUGUYGUUAGGGAAGAACAAGUGCGAGAGUAACUGCUCGCACCUUGACGGUACCUAACCAGAAAGCCACGGCUAAYUAYGUGCCAGCAGCCGCGGUAWUAYGUAGGUGGCAAGCGUUGUCCGGAAUUAUUGGGSGUAAAGGGCUCGCAGGCGGUUUYUUAAGUYUGAUGUGAAAGCCCCCGGCUCAACCGGGGAGGGUCAUUGGAAACUGGGAAACUUGAGUGCAGAAGAGGAGAGUGGAAUUCCACGUGUAGCGGUGAAAUGCGUAGAGAUGUGGAGGAACACCAGUGGCGAAGGCGACUCUCUGGUCUGUAAYUGACGCUGAGGAGCGAAAGCGYGGGGAGCGAACAGGAUUAGAUACCCUGGUAGUCCACSCCGUAAACGAUGAGUGCUAAGUGUUAGGGGGUUUCCGCCCCUUAGUGSUGCAGCUAACGC